This 935-nucleotide long non-coding RNA is filed under the name Ovis aries (sheep). Its description in RNAcentral is "lncRNA (ENSOARG00000026644.1)". Lineage: Eukaryota; Metazoa; Chordata; Mammalia; Artiodactyla; Bovidae. The record is from RNAcentral.
GGUGGAAUCUACCACCAUCUAAAAUGAAAAUAUUCCUUAUUCAAUGUAUACUGUCUUUCUCUCCACUAGAAUAUAAGAUCUACAAGGGCAAUUCUCCUGGUCCUGUCAGUUUCAUUCCACUAAACUUUAACUUCUGCAUAAGUGACUGACACAAAGGAGUGACUUGCUCAUAUAUGGUGAAUGAAUGCUGGACAGAAAGAAAGCCAGUGAUAGAGUUCUCCUGGGUCCCAGGUCCCCAGCUCAAUGUGGGUGAAGAGAAUUGUACUUGGCACUGUGCAGCCUUGAGCUCAGUGCUCUGCUGUGUUUUUGCUCACCCUUAACUGGUAUUUCCCCAAAGCAGUUAUCUGACUGGAGCACCUGUGCACCACUGGGUAUGGAGUAUUGCAACAACAAGAGUUUGCACCAAUGACUUUCCAUGUGCAUUUCAUAUUUAGCUGCCGCCAUUCCUUUAAGACCCUGAAUAUUAAAAGUAAAAUGAAAUGCAUAAAUGCAUAUUAACUUUUUUGCCAAUAGAAAGUGGCUCGAUGGCCACUAGAGGGCAUCUUUCCUCAGAAGAUGGCUGUUUGACAUUGGAGACACCUGGAAUUCUCAACUGGCCUGUUAAUAAGAACAGACUACAAGGUCACCUCCAGGGUCUGAGCAUGCUCCCUGUACUCUUUAAAAAUCAUAGGCGGCAGGCAACUUUUUGUAUAUGCGACCUUAGAGCUUUCCUGGCUGAGUCAGCAUCUUCAUUUUGGCCUUGUGUCACUGUGGCAUUCCCUCAGCAGACUACCUUACUGUCAGAGGCGUUCAUCUCCUGUGUGCUGGAUGAGGGGUGGCCCAGUCUCACAUCACAGCACCCCCGGGGACCAGGCUUUCGUGUAGCUCAGGUGUUCUCUUCUGGGAGUCUGUCUGCAGAUCUGGGGCCUUAUCUUGCUCCAGUCUGUGUUUCUUGA